Molecule: long non-coding RNA, 3030 nt
Organism: Gossypium arboreum
Lineage: Eukaryota; Viridiplantae; Streptophyta; Magnoliopsida; Malvales; Malvaceae
Exons: 5
Source: RefSeq, a predicted model, not a curated record
UUUGACCCAAGUCUUUCCCUCUUCAGUCUCCUUUCCUUGUCGGUUCCUGUUUUGACGAAAAGCCAUGGAAAUUAAGUAACCUGAAAAGCUGCUUUUUUUUUUUUUUAAUUUCCCUCCAUUUUCCAAUCAUAUGAAUGAAGCAGCAAUCGCUUGUAACUUGCUGCUGUGGAGCUUGACGAGUUUUCGUAUUGUAUUCUUUUGUAUACUGUUUGCUAAUUCGUGGCGAUUUUGUUUGGCUUAAUGGCGUGUUGGUGCAAUAGGAGAAGCUGAUGGAGGAGACCCAUAGCAUGGAGUGUAGCAUGGUUCUUGGUAUAAGACAGAAUUCUGUUUUCUAAUGACUGUUACUUCAGGUUAGGUAAGAUUACUGAAGCCUUUCUCUUUGGAUGAGGAUGAUGACUACUAUAGCUCUAAAAUCAAUCUGUAAUUUUGUUGACAUUGGUGGGAAUCCUGUUUUAACCUUUGGUUAAAGGCAUAAUGUUGUCAAAGGAGAAGCUAAUGGACGAGGCCCAUAGCACGGACUAUAGCUUGGUUCUUGAUAAUGACGGAUGGACUUGCUACUUACUCAGAGCAAGGAAGAGGCAUAUUGUUUUUCUGUCGGCCUUUCCACUUUUCAUUCUUUUUUAUGCUAAACUGGUUAUUGUUGAUUAACUGCUUUAUUCCGUUAUUUUCACAGGGCUAUGCAGAACUCGAUUUUCUUGCUACCAUUAUUCCGGAUUUGGAUCGAUCACAAGAUGAGAUUUAUGGACCACAAGUUUUGAUAAUUUAUUUGUACACUAUUUCUUUAUUAGGUAAAUGUUUGGUUAAUAGCUAGAUGGCUAGCCAGAUCUAUCACAGACUUAUGAUACAUAGAAUGAUACGAUAAAGUGAUAUAAAGAUGAGCUGACCAGACAAUUAAGCUGGCUAUGCCUAAAGUUCUGCAGAAAGUUUAUCAUGGUUUGCUGUUUUAUUCGUGUUCUCUGCAUGCCAAAUUCAGGAGAGGCUUCCUUGUAUUUUAAGCUGCUUCUCAAUUGUGUCUUCAUUCCAUGUGUAUGAGAUGGCCUUUUCUUUGGGAGGUUGUGGCAAAUCUAAUGUUUGCUGAUGUUAGGGCAGACCAACAAUGUGGCUCUUCCUUUAUGUUUUAGGGACAAAUUACUGACUGAUGUUUGCAAACAAAUCAAGAUGAAGUUGAUAAAUUAUUUUAUUGUGCUUUCGAAUUUGAUUUCUGGUUAGAUUCUUUUGAUCAAUAUUUCAAGUUGUAAGAUAAAACUAAAAUCAAACAAGGAGUUGGGGCAUUCCGAGAAUCGAACUCGGGACCUCUCGCACCCAAAGCGAGAAUCAUACCACUAGACCAAAUGCCCUAUCUUGGAUGUUUAACUGAAUCUGUUUUAGUUAUUGGCUCUUUUCUUCAAAUUGGGCUAAGUUUUGAUGUUUGUCUGCUGACUUGUUAGCAAAUUGUUCUGCUAUGUGACUUCUACCUUGGUACUCUAACGAAUGGUUGAAGGAUGAGCUUAUUGGACAAUUGGGCAGCUAUCAACUAAUUAUUAAAUUUUGCAUCUUGAUAACUUUUUUCGUUGUUGGACUUUGUAAACUUAACAGCAAACUCUUUUACUGAUAGAAUACGUCGAGGUGCUGUCUACUUUGGCCGCUACAGUCAUUUGGUAAUUUUACUAAGAAUCCUGGAAUGGUUCUUCAAUCCCACGUGCACCUGGCUUUGCGCCUUUUGCAGUGCUUUGCCACUCUGCUUAGUAUAGUUAUUGCGCGCGCACACAAAAAAAAGAAAGAGAAAAUGAGGUCGUUUUUUUUUUGGUCUAAGAUGUUAUUUCAUUCUGAGAAUUGAAUCCAGACUCCUUGCACCCAAUGUUAGAAACUUACCACUAGACCAAAUGCUCAUUUAUUGCUCUAAUAUGUUGUUAUUACAUUUAUAGGCAUCGCUUUUCAAGAAAUGAUGCAUACCGUUAUUUAUUGAUGAAAUCUUUGAAUCUGUGAUCGAAACUAGGUUGUUUGUGAUGCUUUUUGCUAUUGGAAUAAAAAGGUUAGGCAAGAAUACUGAUGCCUUUCUCUUUGGACGAGGAUGAUGACUACUAUAGCUCUAAAGUCAAUCUGUAAUUUUGUUGACCUUGGUGGGAAUCCUGUUUUAACCUUUGGUUAAAGGCAUAAUGUUGUCAAAGGAGAAGCUAAUGGACGAGGCCCAUAGUGGACUAUAGCUUGGUUCUUGUGAAUCAGAUGGACUUGCUUCUUACACAGAGCAAAUGCCCAAUGUCUGAUAUUCUUCACGUCUAGUUUGUAGCUAAUAGAUUUUUUUCUCGUAGAACUCCUAUUAACUCUCAAUGGGCUCAUUCUUGGAAUACCAAAAUUUUCAAAUCUCUCACUUUCGAUGUGGUUCAAUGAUCAUUGUCUGCUACAAUUGGAUGCUAAGGGCUUUUUUGCAUUAGCUCCAGGUUACAUCUUAAAUCAUCCCUUAGAGGCUGAAACUUCUUUAGCUUACAAUUCUCGUAAAUUUUAUAAAUUUCUUUUAACUAUGAUGAGUCUGACAGCUAAAUCAGUACUUUUCUAGUUGUUGUAGUUAGACAUUAGUGUAUUUUGAUUGAUGCUGCAAAAUAAUUUAAAAAAUGAAAUUGCUGAACAAGUAAGCAGCUAGUAGAAAUCUAAUGCCCUAAUAAACAUUUCAAGCCAGUUAUCAGAGACUCUAGACUUAAUUUAUCUGGUAAAGUUUUUUGGUUAUGCAUAAGGAUAGGUCUGAAUCACAUCUUUCCGCAAAGGGUGGGGGUGUGGGGGUUGAUGUAAGUUGCGAUCUAGCCCACAUAGUAUAGCCUGGUAAUUGAUUCAGGAAAAAGAAAUGAAAGCAGUUUUAGCAGAUAGAGAAGAUGGGAACUCUCAGAAAGGUGGAAAAGUACUUUGCUUUUUAAGUUCGCUGGAAUAUAAAUAGGCAUCUCCAGUAAAAUAGUUGAACCUGCUCUUUAACGUGCAUUGUAAUUCUGUUUAUUUGUGCUGUUCAACAAUAAACUUUUGAAAAUGGGAACAAUCUAUUUAUUUUUACUCACUGCAAAAGAA